GCUUAACACAUGCAAGUCGAACGGUGAAGCCCAGCUUGCUGGGUGGAUCAGUGGCGAACGGGUGAGUAACACGUGAGCAAUCUGCCCCUGACUCUGGGAUAAGCGCUGGAAACGGCGUCUAAUACUGGAUAUGAACCGUGGAGGCAUCUUCAACGGUUGGAAAGAUUUUUUGGUCAGGGAUGAGCUCGCGGCCUAUCAGCUUGUUGGUGAGGUAAUGGCUCACCAAGGCGUCGACGGGUAGCCGGCCUGAGAGGGUGACCGGCCACACUGGGACUGAGACACGGCCCAGACUCCUACGGGAGGCAGCAGUGGGGAAUAUUGCACAAUGGGCGCAAGCCUGAUGCAGCAACGCCGCGUGAGGGAUGACGGCCUUCGGGUUGUAAACCUCUUUUAGCAGGGAAGAAGCGAAAGUGACGGUACCUGCAGAAAAAGCGCCGGCUAACUACGUGCCAGCAGCCGCGGUAAUACGUAGGGCGCAAGCGUUAUCCGGAAUUAUUGGGCGUAAAGAGCUCGUAGGCGGUUUGUCGCGUCUGCUGUGAAAUCCCGAGGCUCAACCUCGGGUCUGCAGUGGGUACGGGCAGACUAGAGUGCGGUAGGGGAGAUUGGAAUUCCUGGUGUAGCGGUGGAAUGCGCAGAUAUCAGGAGGAACACCGAUGGCGAAGGCAGAUCUCUGGGCCGUAACUGACGCUGAGGAGCGAAAGGGUGGGGAGCAAACAGGCUUAGAUACCCUGGUAGUCCACCCCGUAAACGUUGGGAACUAGUUGUGGGGUCCAUUCCACGGAUUCCGUGACGCAGCUAACGCAUUAAGUUCCCCGCCUGGGGAGUACGGCCGCAAGGCUAAAACUCAAAGGAAUUGACGGGGACCCGCACAAGCGGCGGAGCAUGCGGAUUAAUUCGAUGCAACGCGAAGAACCUUACCAAGGCUUGACAUAUACGAGAACGCUGCAGAAAUGUAGAACUCUUUGGACACUCGUAAACAGGUGGUGCAUGGUUGUCGUCAGCUCGUGUCGUGAGAUGUUGGGUUAAGUCCCGCAACGAGCGCAACCCUCGUUCUAUGUUGCCAGCACGUAAUGGUGGGAACUCAUGGGAUACUGCCGGGGUCAACUCGGAGGAAGGUGGGGAUGACGUCAAAUCAUCAUGCCCCUUAUGUCUUGGGCUUCACGCAUGCUACAAUGGCCGGUACAAAGGGCUGCAAUACCGUAAGGUGGAGCGAAUCCCAAAAAGCCGGUCCCAGUUCGGAUUGAGGUCUGCAACUCGACCUCAUGAAGUCGGAGUCGCUAGUAAUCGCAGAUCAGCAACGCUGCGGUGAAUACGUUCCCGGGUCUUGUACACACCGCCCGUCAAGUCAUGAAAGUCGGUAACACCUGAAGCCGGUGGCCCAACCCUUGUGGAGGGAGCCGUC
This 1402-nucleotide ribosomal RNA is filed under the name Microbacterium sp. S15-C. RNAcentral describes it as "bacterial SSU rRNA". It matches the Rfam family "Bacterial small subunit ribosomal RNA". Lineage: Bacteria; Bacillati; Actinomycetota; Actinomycetes; Micrococcales; Microbacteriaceae. The record is from RNAcentral.